GCUCAACCGGGGAGGGUCAUUGGAAACUGGGGAACUUGAGUGCAGAAGAGGAGAGUGGAAUUCCACGUGUAGCGGUGAAAUGCGUAGAGAUGUGGAGGAACACCAGUGGCGAAGGCGACUCUCUGGUCUGUAACUGACGCUGAGGCGCGAAAGCGUGGGGAGCGAACAGGAUUAGAUACCCUGGUAGUCCACGCCGUAAACGAUGAGUGCUAAGUGUUAGAGGGUUUCCGCCCUUUAGUGCUGCAGCAAACGCAUUAAGCACUCCGCCUGGGGAGUACGGUCGCAAGACUGAAACUCAAAGGAAUUGACGGGGGCCCGCACAAGCGGUGGAGCAUGUGGCUUAAUUCGAAGCAACGCGAAGAACCUUACCAGGUCUUGACAUCCUCUGACAACCCUAGAGAUAGGGCUUCCCCUUCGGGGGCAGAAUGACAGGUGGUGCAUGGUUGUCGUCAGCUCGUGUCGUGAGAUGUUGGGUUAAGUCCCGCAACGAGCGCAACCCUUGAUCUUAGUUGCCAGCAUUCAGUUGGGCACUCUAAGGUGACUGCCGGUGACAAACCGGAGGAAGGUGGGGAUGACGUCAAAUCAUCAUGCCCCUUAUGACAUGGGCUACACACGUGCUACAAUGGGCAGAACAAAG
Molecule: ribosomal RNA, 637 nt
Filed under: uncultured bacterium
Lineage: Bacteria
Description: bacterial SSU rRNA
Rfam family: Bacterial small subunit ribosomal RNA
Source: RNAcentral